AGCUAAUAGAUACCCCGGUAGUCCACGCCCUAAACGAUGUCUACUAGUUGUUGGUGGAGUAAAAAUCCAUGAGUAAACGCAGCUAAACGCGUGAAGUAGACCGCCUGGGGAGUACGGUCGCAAGAUUAAAACUCAAAGGAAUUGACGGGGGCCCGGCACAAGCGGUGGAUUAUGUGGAUUAAAUUCGAUGCAACGCGAAAAACCUUACCUGGCCUUGACAUGCCACUAACGAAGCAGAGAUGCAUUAGGUGCCCGUAAGGGAAAGUGGACACAGGUGCUGCAUGGCUGUCGUCAGCUCGUGUCGUGAGAUGUUGGGUUAAGUCCCG
Molecule: ribosomal RNA, 326 nt
Filed under: uncultured bacterium
Lineage: Bacteria
Description: bacterial SSU rRNA
Rfam family: Bacterial small subunit ribosomal RNA
Source: RNAcentral